RNAcentral lists this ribosomal RNA (594 nucleotides) under uncultured bacterium. RNAcentral describes it as "bacterial SSU rRNA". The stretch from base 1 to 518 matches the Rfam family "Bacterial small subunit ribosomal RNA", at positions 338 to 873 of the family's 1533-position model. The record is from RNAcentral.
CCUACGGGAGGCAGCAGUGGGGAAUCUUGCGCAAUGGGCGAAAGCCUGACGCAGCCAUGCCGCGUGAAUGAUGAAGGUCUUAGGAUUGUAAAAUUCUUUCACCGGGGACGAUAAUGACGGUACCCGGAGAAGAAGCCCCGGCUAACUUCGUGCCAGCAGCCGCGGUAAUACGAAGGGGGCUAGCGUUGCUCGGAAUUACUGGGCGUAAAGGGAGCGUAGGCGGACAUUUAAGUCAGGGGUGAAAUCCCAGAGCUCAACUCUGGAACUGCCUUUGAUACUGGGUGUCUUGAGUGUGAUAGAGGUAUGUGGAACUCCGAGUGUAGAGGUGAAAUUCGUAGAUAUUCGGAAGAACACCAGUGGCGAAGGCGACAUACUGGAUCAUUACUGACGCUGAGGCUCGAAAGCGUGGGGAGCAAACAGGAUUAGAUACCCUGGUAGUCCACGCCGUAAACGAUGAUUGCUAGUUGUUGGGAUGUUUACAUCUCGGUGACGCAGCUACGACAUAAGUACACUCCGCCGUCGGGAGGUACGGUCGCGAGAUAACUACAAGAAGAGUAGACGCGNGAGAGCGACGACGACGACGACGAGGGAGAG